GGAGGACUCAAACUAUAGGUACCAGGAU
Molecule: non-coding RNA, 28 nt
Filed under: Mus musculus (house mouse)
Lineage: Eukaryota; Metazoa; Chordata; Mammalia; Rodentia; Muridae
Source: RNAcentral